GAUGAACGCUGGCGGCGUGCCUAACACAUGCAAGUCGAACGGAGUCCAGCCUUUAAGACCUUCGGGUCAAAGAGGGGAAGACUGAGUGGCGGACGGGUGAGUAACACGUGGGCAACCUGGCUCAUAGAGGGGGAUAACAGAGAGAAAUUUCUGCUAAUACCGCAUAAGCACACACUGCCGCAUGGCAGAGGGGGAAAAGAGAAUCGCUAUGAGAUGGACCCGCGUCUGAUUAGCCAGUUGGCAGGGUAAGAGCCUACCAAAGCGACGAUCAGUAGCCGAUCUGAGAGGAUGAACGGCCACAUUGGGACUGGGCCACGGCCCAAACUCCUACGGGAAGCAGCAGUGGGGGAUAUUGCACAAUGGGGGGAACCCUGAUGCAGCGCCGCCGCGUGAGUGAAGAAGUAGUUCGGUAUGUAAAGCUCUAUCAGCAGGGAAGAUAAUGACAGUACCUGAAGAAGAAGCCCCGGCUAACUACGUG
Molecule: ribosomal RNA, 478 nt
Filed under: uncultured bacterium
Lineage: Bacteria
Description: partial 16S ribosomal RNA
Rfam family: Bacterial small subunit ribosomal RNA
Source: RNAcentral